Molecule: unclassified non-coding RNA, 346 nt
Filed under: soil metagenome
Description: partial contains 5.8S ribosomal RNA, internal transcribed spacer 2, and large subunit ribosomal RNA
Rfam family: 5.8S ribosomal RNA (bases 1-120)
Source: RNAcentral
GAUGAAGAACGCAGCGAAAUGCGAUACGUAAUGUGAAUUGCAGAAUUCAGUGAAUUAUCGAGUCUUUGAACGCACAUUGCGCCCCCUGGUAUUCCGGGGGGCAUGCCUGUCCGAGCGUCAUUGCUGCCCUCAAGCCCGGCUUGUGUGUUGGGUCUCGUCCCCCUUCCCGGGGGGACGGGCCCGAAAGGCAGCGGCGGCACCGCGUCCGGUCCUCGAGCGUAUGGGGCUUUGUCACCCGCUCUGUAGGCCCGGCCGGCGCUUGCCGAUCAACCAAAACUUUUUUCCAGGUUGACCUCGGAUCAGGUAGGGAUACCCGCUGAACUUAAGCAUAUCAAUAAGCGGAGGA